CUACGGAGGGUGCAAGCGUUAAUCGGAAUUACUGGGCGUAAAGCGUACGUAGGCGGUUCGUUAAGUUAGAUGUGAAAGCCCCGGGCUUAACCUGGGAACUGCAUUUAAAACUGGCGAACUAGAGUUGAGUAGAGGGGAGUGGAAUUUCAGGUGUAGCGGUGAAAUGCGUAGAGAUCUGAAGGAACACCAGUGGCGAAGGCGACUCCCUGGACUCGAACUGACGCUGAGGUACGAAAGCGUGGGUAGCAAACGGGAUUAGAUACCCUUGUAGUCC
Molecule: ribosomal RNA, 274 nt
Filed under: uncultured bacterium
Lineage: Bacteria
Description: partial 16S ribosomal RNA
Rfam family: Bacterial small subunit ribosomal RNA
Source: RNAcentral